GCCUCUUUAGCUUAGGGGUAGAGCAGUAGUCUUUCAAACUGAAGGUCGCUAGUUCGAAUCUCUCAUGAGGCU
Molecule: non-coding RNA, 72 nt
Organism: Paramuricea clavata
Lineage: Eukaryota; Metazoa; Cnidaria; Anthozoa; Malacalcyonacea; Plexauridae
Source: the annotation of a GenBank genome assembly